AGGGACUUAGGAUUAACACAAACCGAGGGCCUUCAAAGCCCUAAACAAGAGUAAUACCCUCUUAGCCCCUG
Molecule: transfer RNA, 71 nt
Filed under: Ctenophorus maculatus
Lineage: Eukaryota; Metazoa; Chordata; Lepidosauria; Squamata; Agamidae
Description: tRNA-Trp
Source: RNAcentral